Molecule: ribosomal RNA, 318 nt
Filed under: Lacticaseibacillus rhamnosus R0011
Lineage: Bacteria; Bacillati; Bacillota; Bacilli; Lactobacillales; Lactobacillaceae
Description: bacterial SSU rRNA
Rfam family: Bacterial small subunit ribosomal RNA
Source: RNAcentral
UUUAUAUGAGAGUUUGAUCCUGGCUCAGGAUGAACGCUGGCGGCGUGCCUAAUACAUGCAAGUCGAACGAGUUCUGAUUAUUGAAAGGUGCUUGCAUCUUGAUUUGAUUUUGAACGAGUGGCGGACGGGUGAGUAACACGUGGGUAACCUGCCCUUAAGUGGGGGAUAACAUUUGGAAACAGAUGCUAAUACCGCAUAAAUCCAAGAACCGCAUGGUUUCUUGGCUGAAAGAUGGCGUAAGCUAUCGCUUUUGGAUGGACCCGCGGCGUAUUAGCUAGUUGGUGAGGUAACGGCUCACCAAGGCAAUGAUACGUAGCC